This is a long non-coding RNA of Stylophora pistillata, 298 nucleotides long. The record is from RefSeq and is a predicted model, not a curated record. NCBI's taxonomy places the organism in Eukaryota, Metazoa, Cnidaria, Anthozoa, Scleractinia, Pocilloporidae.
GAGGCAUUGGUGUUUUCAUUAAAAGGCUCCGAACUAAGGCUGCCUCGUCUAUUCGGCCACCUGUAAAACUGGACAAGCAAUCACCAAUCCAUUCGUACAUCCGCUGGUUUGAACCGCUCGUGAUCCGCGCCCUGAAGGAAUACACUUUGUCCACUAAUGUUAUCUUACAGCAGCAAGUCUUGAGUCUUCUGGCUCAGCUUAUAAGACUAAGAGUUAAUUAUUCAUUAUUGGAUUCUGAUCAGGUAUUCGUCAGCUAUAUUAAAAAACAAUUUGAAUUCAUUGAUGCAGGUCAAAUAAA